CAAAUGAAUUGACGGGGCCCGCACAAGCGGUGGAGCAUGUGGUUAAUUCGACGCAACGCGAAGAACCUUACCAGGGCUUGACAUCCCCUGACCGCGUAUGAAAGUACGUUUUCACCCUCGGGUGACAGGGAGACAGGUGGUGCAUGGUUGUCGUCAGCUCGUGUCGUGAGAUGUUGGGUUAAGUCCCGCAACGAGCGCAACCCCUACGUUUAGUUGCUAACGCGUGAAGGCGAGCACUCUAGACGAACUGCCGUUGACAAAACGGAGGAAGGUGGGGAUGACGUCAAAUCAUCAUGCCCCUUAUGUUCUGGGCUACACACGUGCUACAAUGGCCGGUACAGACGGACGCAAAGCCGCGAGGUGGAGCAAAUCCUAAAAAGCCGGUCUCAGUUCGGAUUGCAGGCUGCAAUUCGCCUGCAUGAAGUCGGAAUCGCUAGUAAUCGCAGGUCAGCAUACUGCGGUGAAUACGUUCCCGGGCCUU
RNAcentral lists this ribosomal RNA (481 nucleotides) under uncultured Pelotomaculum sp. RNAcentral's name for it is "bacterial SSU rRNA". It matches the Rfam family "Bacterial small subunit ribosomal RNA", at positions 902 to 1382 of the family's 1533-position model. The record is from RNAcentral. Lineage: Bacteria; Bacillati; Bacillota; Clostridia; Eubacteriales; Desulfotomaculaceae.